AGAGUUUGAUCAUGGCUCAGGUCGAACGCUGGCGGCAUGUCUAAGGCAUGCAAGUCGAACGAACAACAUCGGUGCUUGCAUUGAUCGCGUAAGUGGCAAACGGGAGAGUAACGCAUUGGUAAUUUACCCUGUAUUCGUGAACAACCUUUGGAAACGAAGGCUAAUACACGAUAUUGAUGGGGGGACGCAAGUCAUUCCCAUUGAAAGCUCCGGCGGUUUGGGAGAAGCCUAUGUACUAUCAGCUUGUUGGUGAGGUAAAAGCUCACCAAGGCUACGACGGUUACCGGGCGUGAGAGCGUGACCCGGCUCACUGGGACUGAGACACUGCCCAGACUCCUACGGGAGGCUGCAGUCAAGAAUCUUCCGCAAUGCACGAAAGUGUGACGGAGCGACGCCGCGUGUCGGAUGAAGGCCUUCGGGUCGUAACGACUGUUCUAAGGGACGAAAUUUAUGACGGUACCUUAGCAGAAAGAGGUUGCUAACUCUGUGCCAGCAGCAGCGGUAAUACAGAGACCUCGAGCGUUGACCGGAUUUAUUGGGCGUAAAGCGUGCGCAGGCGGUUUCGUAAGUCAUUUGUUAAAUCUUCAGGCUCAACCUGGAGGCUGCAGGUGAUACUGCAAAACUAGAGAAUGGGAGAGGUAAGUGGAAUGCCCGGUGUAGGAGUAAAAUCCGUUAAGAUCGGGUAGAACACCAAAUGCGAAGGCAAAUAGCUGGAACGAUCCUGACGCUGAUGCACGAAAGCGUGGGUAGCGAAUCGGAUUAGAUACCCGAGUAGUCCACGCCGUAAACGAUGAGUGCUAGGUAUUGCGAGUAUCGACCCUCGCAGUGCCGACGAACCAAGCUAACGCGUUAAGCACUCCGCCUGGGGAGUACGGCCGCAAGGCUAAAACUCAAAGGAAUAGACGGGGACCUGCACAAGCGGUGGAUCAUGCGGUUUAAUUCGAUACAACGCGAGAAACCUCACCCGGGUUUGACAUAUAGCUGCAAACUCUAAGAAACUAGAGCAUCUUUCGAAGGUGCUAUACAGGUGCUGCAUGGUUGUCGUCAGCUCGUGCCGUGAGGUGUACCCUUAAGUGGGGUAACGAGCGCAACCCCUGUUCUGUGUUGUACUUUCACAGAAGACUGCCUACGCAAGUGGGAGGAAGGCGGGGACGACGUCAAAUCAGCAUGGCCCUUACGUCUGGGGCAACACGCAUGAUACAAUGGCCGGUACAACGGGCUGCCAAGGCGCGAGACGGAGCAAAUCCCUUAAAACUGGUCUCAGUUCGGAUUGUAGUCUGAAACUCGACUACAUGAAGUCGGAAUCGCUAGUAAAGGCGGAUCAUCACGCCGCCUUGAAUACGUUCUCAGGUCUUGUACUCACCGCCCGUCACGUCAAGAGAGUUGGGGGCGCCCGAACGUCGCUGUAGAGCGGCGGAAGGUAAAUCCAGCGAUAGGGACUAAGUCGUAACAAGGUA
This 1457-nucleotide ribosomal RNA is filed under the name uncultured prokaryote. RNAcentral's name for it is "partial 16S ribosomal RNA". It matches the Rfam family "Bacterial small subunit ribosomal RNA". The record is from RNAcentral.